AGCUUGGCACAGUGGCAGUAUCGUAGCCAAUGAGGUUUAUCCAAGGCGGGAUUAUUGUUAAUCGAAAAAAAAAAAAAAAAAAGCAAGAAUGCAUUUGUUUAUUCAACAUUCAGUAACAUUUUUACUGUGGAUCUCUUAGGUGU
Molecule: small nuclear RNA, 143 nt
Organism: Nycticebus coucang (slow loris)
Lineage: Eukaryota; Metazoa; Chordata; Mammalia; Primates; Lorisidae
Product: U4 spliceosomal RNA
Exons: 1
Source: RefSeq, a predicted model, not a curated record